Molecule: long non-coding RNA, 506 nt
Filed under: Anser brachyrhynchus (Pink-footed goose)
Lineage: Eukaryota; Metazoa; Chordata; Aves; Anseriformes; Anatidae
Description: lncRNA (ENSABRG00000010208.1)
Source: RNAcentral
AUUAGCCGGGUCAUUUUCUUGUGUGGUGUCAUCAUAAGGGGUAACAUGGGCCUGACAUUUUAACAACAUCUGAAGAAGAGGAUAGAAGACAGGGUUGUAAAAAAGCUUCCAUAUAACAACUGUUCAUAACAGGGGACCAGUAAAGGUCUGAUAUGAGGAAAUGAUUUAGGUGCCUGUAGAAAGAAAAUUAAAUGGAAUAGCAUCCCAUUCAUCCAACUGUGCUUUUGAUAAUGAAACCUAUACUUCUAGAGUUCGAAUUUGAAACCAAAAUUGAAGAAUUAAUGCACAGUAUUUUGCACUUCCUCUGGUCAAUAAUUCCAGUGUCUGCCCAACAAUAUCAUAUUGUUGGACAUCUGUGAUGCUCAGUUACGAAAUUUAAACUAUUCUGGGAGUGGCAGCUAAAAGGCGUUUGAACAACAAAGUGUAUAGCAGAAAAGAACUCAUGGCUGUGACUCAGCCAGUUGAGAAAUCCGAAAUAAAAAUAAAUUAUUCACAAAAUUCCCCCA